Molecule: ribosomal RNA, 381 nt
Filed under: Cryptosporidium hominis
Lineage: Eukaryota; Apicomplexa; Conoidasida; Eucoccidiorida; Cryptosporidiidae
Description: partial 18S ribosomal RNA
Rfam family: Eukaryotic small subunit ribosomal RNA
Source: RNAcentral
UUAAUAAUUUAUAUAAAAUAUUUUGAUGAAUAUUUAUAUAAUAUUAACAUAAUUCAUAUUACUAUUUUUUUUUUUAGUAUAUGAAAUUUUACUUUGAGAAAAUUAGAGUGCUUAAAGCAGGCAUAUGCCUUGAAUACUCCAGCAUGGAAUAAUAUUAAAGAUUUUUAUCUUUUUUAUUGGUUCUAAGAUAAGAAUAAUGAUUAAUAGGGACAGUUGGGGGCAUUUGUAUUUAACAGUCAGAGGUGAAAUUCUUAGAUUUGUUAAAGACAAACUAAUGCGAAAGCAUUUGCCAAGGAUGUUUUCAUUAAUCAAGAACGAAAGUUAGGGGAUCGAAGACGAUCAGAUACCGUCGUAGUCUUAACCAUAAACUAUGCCAACUAG